This is a non-coding RNA of Microcebus murinus (gray mouse lemur), 286 nucleotides long. The record is from RefSeq and is a predicted model, not a curated record. NCBI's taxonomy places the organism in Eukaryota, Metazoa, Chordata, Mammalia, Primates, Cheirogaleidae.
AGUUUUUUUCCCCCUCUUCAAAAUUUUAGGCCCAUCCAAAAUACUUGAGUUGUAUUGCAAUCAGCUGUUUUUUCCUAGCUGCCAAGACUGUUGAGGAAGAUGAGAGAAUUCCAGUACUGAAAGUAUUGGCAAGAGACAGUUUCUGUGGAUGUUCCUCAUCUGAAAUUCUGAGAAUGGAGAGAAUUAUUCUGGAUAAGUUGAAUUGGGAUCUUCACACAGCCACACCAUUGGAUUUUCUUCACAUUUUCCAUGCCAUUGCAGUGUCAACUAGGCCUCAGUUACUUUU